Molecule: ribosomal RNA, 745 nt
Filed under: uncultured Bacteroidales bacterium
Lineage: Bacteria; Pseudomonadati; Bacteroidota; Bacteroidia; Bacteroidales
Description: bacterial SSU rRNA
Rfam family: Bacterial small subunit ribosomal RNA
Source: RNAcentral
GAUGAACGCUAGCUACAGGCUUACACAUGCAAGUCGAGGGGCAGCAUGGUCUUAGCUUGCUAAGGCCGAUGGCGACCGGCGCACGGGUGAGUAACACGUAUCCAACCUGCCGUCUACUCUUGGACAGCCUUCUGAAAGGAAGAUUAAUACAAGAUGGCAUCAUGAGUCCGCAUGUUCACAUGAUUAAAGGUAUUCCGGUAGACGAUGGGGAUGCGUUCCAUUAGAUAGUAGGCGGGGUAACGGCCCACCUAGUCUUCGAUGGAUAGGGGUUCUGAGAGGAAGGUCCCCCACAUUGGAACUGAGACACGGUCCAAACUCCUACGGGAGGCAGCAGUGAGGAAUAUUGGUCAAUGGGCGAGAGCCUGAACCAGCCAAGUAGCGUGAAGGAUGACUGCCCUAUGGGUUGUAAACUUCUUUUAUACGGGAAUAAAGUGAGGCACGUGUGCCUUUUUGUAUGUACCGUAUGAAUAAGGAUCGGCUAACUCCGUGCCAGCAGCCGCGGUAAUACGGAGGAUCCGAGCGUUAUCCGGAUUUAUUGGGUUUAAAGGGAGCGUAGGCGGACGCUUAAGUCAGUUGUGAAAGUUUGCGGCUCAACCGUAAAAUUGCAGUUGAUACUGGGUGUCUUGAGUACAGUAGAGGCAGGCGGAAUUCGUGGUGUAGCGGUGAAAUGCUUAGAUAUCACGAAGAACUCCGAUUGCGAAGGCAGCUUGCUGGACUGUAACUGACGCUGAUGCUCGAAAGUGUG